CACCAGCACACUUCCCAUAUCAUUACAAGCACGGCACUCAGGCUUGCAACAUGGUUACACUGAUCAUCUGUCCUUGGCCUUCUGAUUAAACCCUAUACAACUGUCUGAAGACGUCCGUGUGGCUAAUUAACCAGGCUACAUUACGUUUGAAAAAAAGAAAACAUAUUUCUAUGCGAUCUGUAACGAAAAAAAAACCCAACAAACGUCAUUGCGUGGUCAAGGAUAUGAUCUGGAAGCUUUGUCGGAUAUAUUAAAAACAAACACACAAUACCUCAUUGCAUAUUAGUGAGAAACAUCAGCUUAAACAUACUUACGAUGGAUUUAUCAGUGCUGUGUGUUAUUGUCAUAUUCUACAUGCCUGGACUCUCGGCAUCUUCAUUUACACGUGUAAUUCGUGCUGCUCUUACAGAUUACGCGCAUAGCGUACUGGAUACUUACGACAAUAAAACACAUUAUGUGGAUUGUGCCAAGGUUUGUAAAUCUAACUGCCUGUCCUUCUCCUAUGAUCCCGGGACUAAGGAAUGCAAAACGUAUACCAAGAUAAUUUGUAGAGAUACCACUAAAUUGAAAUCUAAUAGCAUGAUGUUUGCUAAGGUCUACAAGGAUGCCAUCAAGGGACGACCAGGCCGACACUUGUCCACGUGAAUACCAACAUGUGUAGUAUAAGAGGACUCUAGUACCUCUUUUGACCCAAGGAACCACUUGCGUUUGGUAUUUACAAAAGCAUUUCUUUUUUCAUUAAAAACAAUAACAACAUA
Molecule: long non-coding RNA, 758 nt
Organism: Pecten maximus
Lineage: Eukaryota; Metazoa; Mollusca; Bivalvia; Pectinida; Pectinidae
Exons: 3
Source: RefSeq, a predicted model, not a curated record